RNAcentral lists this ribosomal RNA (389 nucleotides) under Embryophyta sp. Its description in RNAcentral is "partial small subunit ribosomal RNA". It matches the Rfam family "Eukaryotic small subunit ribosomal RNA", at positions 582 to 975 of the family's 1831-position model. Lineage: Eukaryota; Viridiplantae; Streptophyta. The record is from RNAcentral.
AUUCCAGCUCCAAUAGCAUAUAUUUAAGUCGUUGCAGUUAAAAAGCUCGUAGUUGGAUCUUGGGUCGUAAGGGCCAGUCCGCCUACUCGGUGUGCACCUGCCCUUCCAUCCCUUUUGUCUGCGGCGUUCUCCUGGCCUUAAUUGGCUGGGUCGCAGUUCCGGCGUUGUUACUUUGAAAAAAUUAGAGUGCUCAAAGCAAGCUUAUGCUCUGAAUACAUUAGCAUGGAAUAACGUGAUAGGAGUCUAGUCCUAUCGUGUUGGCCUUCGGGACCGGAGUAAUGAUUAAUAGGGACUGUCGGGGGCAUUCGUAUUUCAUUGUCAGAGGUGAAAUUCUUGGAUUUAUGAAAGACGGACCACUGCGAAAGCAUUUUCCAAGGAUGUUUUCAUUA